AGAGUUAAAUCAAAAACAGCAACAGUAAACAAGUAGAUCUCUGAUUAAAUCCAACAAGCAUCAACAAUAAAUAUCAAUCUAACUUCCAAGUCAAAAUGAAGUAAAACAGCAACAGAUCUGACCCAUAAAAACAUAAAGAAAACAAAAAAAAAGCUUUAAGAUCAGAUCAAAUACCAGCGGCACCGGUAACGAGAACGCGAACUGGAUCUUUAGCCAUUUUGUAGAAGAUCUAGAAGUUUCCGAUGAGCGAUGAAAACUAUGAUCAGAGCUGGUAAUCAGAGUGUGAA
RNAcentral lists this long non-coding RNA (287 nucleotides) under Nicotiana benthamiana. Its description in RNAcentral is "long non-coding RNA (NBEN_LNC001650)". Lineage: Eukaryota; Viridiplantae; Streptophyta; Magnoliopsida; Solanales; Solanaceae. The record is from RNAcentral.